CCUACGGGUGGCAGCAGUCGGGAAUAUUGGGCAAUGGAGGAAACUCUGACCCAGCAAUACCGCGUGAAGGAUGAAGGUUUUCGGAUUGUAAACUUCUGUUAUAAAGGAAGAAAAAAAUGACGGUACUGUAUAAGUAAGCUUCGGCUAAAUAUGGGCCAGCAGCCGCGGCGAUACAUAGGGGGCAAGCGUUGUCCGGAAUGACUGGGUGUAAAGGGUGUGUAGGUGGCUGAUUAAGAUAGAGGUGAAAGCCCGAGGCUCAACUUCGGAACUGCCUUUAAAACUGGUUGGCUUGAGUGUGGGAGAGGUUAGUGGAACUCCUAGUGUAGCGGUGAAAUGCGUAGAUAUUAGGAAGAACAUCAGGGGCGAAGGCGACUAACUGGAACAUAACUGACACUGAAGCACGAAAGCGUGGGUAUCGAACAGGAUUAGAUACCCCAGUAGUC
Molecule: ribosomal RNA, 443 nt
Filed under: uncultured bacterium
Lineage: Bacteria
Description: partial 16S ribosomal RNA
Rfam family: Bacterial small subunit ribosomal RNA
Source: RNAcentral